Molecule: RNA transcript, 1781 nt
Organism: Neltuma alba
Lineage: Eukaryota; Viridiplantae; Streptophyta; Magnoliopsida; Fabales; Fabaceae
Gene name: serine carboxypeptidase-like 27
Exons: 10
Source: RefSeq, a predicted model, not a curated record
GCUCUUAGAUUCAUGGGUUAUUUUCAAUUAUUUGUUGUUUUACUUUUAUCAAUUCCUAUUGAACUUUGUUUAGCCACCUCCCCCAUCGAAGAUCAAGAGAGAGAUAAGAUAACCCAUUUACCAGGACAACCAAAAAAUGUAGGAUUUGCUCAGUACUCUGGUUAUGUAACUGUGAACGAGCAAGCAGGGAGGGCGUUAUUUUACUGGCUGAUCGAGUCGCCUUCAAGUCGUGGCCCCAAGUCCAGGCCACUUGUUUUAUGGCUUAAUGGUGGUCCUGGAUGCUCCUCUAUUGCUUACGGUUUGGCUGAAGAGAUUGGCCCUUUUCGAAUUAGUUCUGAUGGGAAGUCACUUUACAUGAAUCCAUAUGCUUGGAACAAUUUGGCAAAUAUACUUUUCAUUGAGUCUCCUGCUGGUGUGGGUUUUUCAUAUUCCAAUGAAACAUCAGAUCUGUACUCUGCAGGUGACCAGAGAACAGCUGAAGAUGCCUAUACAUUUCUUGUUAAUUGGUUUGAAAGAUUUCCUCAGUAUAAGUAUAGAGAUUUUUACAUUGCUGGAGAAAGUUAUGCAGGUCACUAUGUUCCUCAGUUGGCUCAACUUGUUUACCAUAAAAAUAAGGGUGUCCAGAAACCAAUUAUAAAUUUAAAGGGAUUUAUGGUUGGAAACGCUGUUACUGAUGAUUAUAACGAUUAUGUUGGCACAUUUGAGUACUGGUGGACCCAUGGUUUGAUUUCGGAUUCCACAUAUAAGAUGCUUCAACUAGCAUGUGACUUUGGGUCUUCCCAGCAUCCAUCAAUACAAUGCAUAGAGGCUCUAAGAGUUGCAGAUUUAGAGCGGGGAAACAUUGAUCCAUAUAGCAUUUAUACACGCCCAUGCAAUGAUACUGCAUCACUCAAGCGCAGGUUGGGCGGUCGCUAUCCAUGGAUGUCUCGAGCUUACGACCCUUGUACUGAGAGGUAUUCAGACAUGUACUUCAAUCAUCCUGAUGUUCAGAAGACACUCCAUGCCAAUGUAACUAAUAUCCCAUAUUCAUGGAAAACAUGCAGUGAUAUUGUUGGAAACUACUGGGCCGAUUCUCCACUAUCUAUGCUUCCAAUAUAUCAAGAACUCAUUGGUGUUGGUCUCAAGAUAUGGGUAUACAGUGGAGAUACGGACUCUGUGGUUCCAGUAACUGCUACUCGAUAUUCCAUUGACGCCUUGAAACUUCCCACCAUUACUAAUUGGUACCCCUGGUAUGAUAAUGGCAAGGUUGGUGGAUGGAGCCAAGUUUAUGAAGGGCUUACGUUUGUUACAGUAACAGGAGCUGGACAUGAAGUUCCACUACAUCGACCUCGCCAAGCAUUCAUUCUUUUCCGGUCAUUCUUGGAGAGCAAGCCCAUGACAAGUUAAACUCAAAUUGUGUCAGGUUUAUUGAUCAUAAACCUUCAAAGUAUACAACAACAACAACAAUAAGCCUUAUUCUACUAAGUAUUGACUUCUCUUUAUUCACUAAUUGUGGAGACUAAAACUAUAAUAGUCUCACUAAUUCAAGGACCAAAUUGUUAGUUCAGUGAAAACAUCAAAAUCAUUCAUAUACAUGGACUGGGAAGAAACACUGUAAAUGCAUUUCUCAUAAGUUUCCUGGAAGGUUAAGGAGUUUUACUUACCGAAGGUACUUUUCCUGUGUCAAAAUGUGGCAUGUAGUUCUAUGAAAUUGAUUCUUUGUAAUGCUAAGAUCAUUCUCUGUGAGCCUCUGACCCCUUCAAUGCAGUUGAGGAGUGGGGGCUUGAAAUUGAUUUUUUUUU